This 319-nucleotide long non-coding RNA is filed under the name Micromonas pusilla. RNAcentral's name for it is "long non-coding RNA (MPUS_LNC000086)". Lineage: Eukaryota; Viridiplantae; Chlorophyta; Mamiellophyceae; Mamiellales; Mamiellaceae. The record is from RNAcentral.
ACCGCGAUGCGAUCGAGGAGGUGCUCGCGAAGCGCGCCCUCCUCGGGGUUAAACGUCGCGAUGAGCAGCGGCCGGCACGGGUGCCGCAGCGUGAUCCCCUCGCGCUCGACGACGUUGUACCCCUCCGCGAGCACGGACAGCAGGAGGUUGGACACGGACUCGUCCAGGAGGUUGAUCUCGUCGACGUACAAGAUGCCGCGGUGCGCCUCCGCGAGAAGCCCGGGCUGGAACACCGUCUUUCCCUCCUUCAUCGACGCCUCGAUGUCCACCGUGCCGACGAGGCGAUCUUCCGUGACCCCGAGCGGGACUUGCACGAACG